UACGUAGGGUGCAAGCGUUAAUCGGAAUUACUGGGCGUAAAGGGUGCGUAGGCGGGUCUUUAAGUCAGGGGUGAAAUCCUGGAGCUCAACUCCAGAACUGCCUUUGAUACUGAGGAUUUCUAGUACGGGAGAGGUGAGUGGAACUGCGAGUGUAGAGGUGAAAUUCGUAGAUAUUCGCAAGAACACCAGUGGCGAAGGCGGCUCACUGGCCCGUUACUGACGCUGAGGCACGAAAGCGUGGGGAGCAAACAGG
Molecule: ribosomal RNA, 253 nt
Filed under: uncultured bacterium
Lineage: Bacteria
Description: partial 16S ribosomal RNA
Rfam family: Bacterial small subunit ribosomal RNA
Source: RNAcentral